Molecule: ribosomal RNA, 253 nt
Filed under: uncultured bacterium
Lineage: Bacteria
Description: partial 16S ribosomal RNA
Rfam family: Bacterial small subunit ribosomal RNA
Source: RNAcentral
UACGAAGGGUGCAAGCGUUAAUCGGAAUUACUGGGCGUAAAGCGCGCGUAGGCGGUUUGAUAAGUGAGAUGUGAAAUCCCCGGGCUCAACCUGGGAACUGCAUCUCAUACUGUCAGGCUAGAGUACAGUAGAGGGGGGUAGAAUUCCACGUGUAGCGGUGAAAUGCAUAGAGAUGUGGAGGAAUACCAGUGGCGAAGGCGGCCCCCUGGAUCGAUACUGACGCUGAGGUGCGAAAGCGUGGGGAGCAAACAGG